Molecule: long non-coding RNA, 1294 nt
Filed under: Homo sapiens (human)
Lineage: Eukaryota; Metazoa; Chordata; Mammalia; Primates; Hominidae
Description: HSALNT0282466
Source: RNAcentral
UAUUAUUUUCAGAUAUUCAAAAUAUGUUUCUCUUUUGCAAUUUACAUUAUUACAUUCCACUUAUGUUUUCAUUGAAAAAUGCCUCUUUUUUUCAAGCUGGCAUUGGAAUCUUGACCCUCAGCUUCCUCAUUUUCUUCCUCGUCUUCACACUUCUUCUGUAAUGCAGGCCUGAGCCCACAGACCUGACCAUUUAUCACCUGGUCUUCAUCCACAUAGUGAUCCUCCUUACUCUGGUGUCAUUGUUGUCUCCAGGUCUGCCUGAGUCACUGUAUUUUCAGAAUGACUUCAAGUGUAAAGGAUUUUUUUUACCUGAACAAGAUGAUGAGAAGUUUCUCCAUCUGCACCACCUGCUUCCUGAGUGUGCUUCAGACCAUAAUCAUCAGCCCCAGAAGCUCUUGGAACAAUGCUGCUUUCAAGUGCAUACAGAGUGGUCCUUUUGUUCAGGCACCAGAAGAAAUUCUGAUACUUUCACAGCACCAGCCUCUCCCCAAGACCUUCCCCAGAGAAAAGUGCCACUCAGACCAUCCUGCUGCUAGUGAGUUUCUUUGUGGUCAUCUACUGGGUCGAUUUCAUCAUCUCAUGCACCUCAACCUCGCUAUGGGCAUAUGACCCUGUUGUCCUGGGUGUCCAGAGGCUUGUCAGUCUUUUGGUGCUACUCAGAUCUGAUAAAAGGAUAAUCAUUGUGACACAAACUGUGAGACAGAGGGUUAACAAGUUAUUUUUAUUGAAAAUAGAUUAUUCUGUCACCAGUUAAAUUACAUAAGUAGUACAGAACUUGCUAUUUAAUUUAACUUAAAUGUAUGGAUUUACACUUUCAAUAUGUCUAAAUACUUUUGAAUCAAAUGCUGCCAAUUCUCUGUGGGUUUUUUUUAGUUUAACAUACAUGAUGGAUAGAUACUCCCAUAUGUUUACAAGUGUCUUCUUUUUCAUUUUGAUUUUCAGGCCUUAAUACAGAGAACAUUUUUCUUUCUUUUUGAAGUAUAAUAUUAAGAAUAUCCUCCUGGUAAUAUAAUCUCUCUGUCUUCGUAUUUUUGAGAAUGUUUUAUUUUUAUUUAUUAAAGAUAUUUGACUAAAUAUUAAAUUCUUACACUCAAUAUUUACUUCUCCUUGUUCUGGCUUCUAUCAAGGCUGUGUGGAUGGUGCCUACAAAUUUGUGGCUUACCUCUGUUUUUUAUCUCCCUAAUUUUAAGAUUUUUCUUUCUUUUUAGUGUUAUACAGCUUGACUAUUAUUUCUGUAUAAAUGAUCACCUGUAUUUACCUUUUUUUUGAAAACUAUGUACUUCUGAAUUCGAGA